Molecule: ribosomal RNA, 517 nt
Filed under: uncultured Hanseniaspora
Lineage: Eukaryota; Fungi; Ascomycota; Saccharomycetes; Saccharomycodales; Saccharomycodaceae
Description: eukaryotic LSU rRNA
Rfam family: Eukaryotic large subunit ribosomal RNA
Source: RNAcentral
AAACCAACUGGGAUUACCUUAGUAACGGCGAGUGAAGCGGUAAAAGCUCAAAUUUGAAAUCUGGUACUUUCAGUGCCCGAGUUGUAAUUUGUAGAAUUUGUCUUUGAUUAGGUCCUUGUCUAUGUUCCUUGGAACAGGACGUCAUAGAGGGUGAGAAUCCCGUUUGGCGAGGAUACCUUUUCUCUGUAAGACUUUUUCGAAGAGUCGAGUUGUUUGGGAAUGCAGCUCAAAGUGGGUGGUAAAUUCCAUCUAAAGCUAAAUAUUGGCGAGAGACCGAUAGCGAACAAGUACAGUGAUGGAAAGAUGAAAAGAACUUUGAAAAGAGAGUGAAAAAGUACGUGAAAUUGUUGAAAGGGAAGGGCAUUUGAUCAGACAUGGUGUUUUUUAAAUGUGCAAGUCUCUCGUGGACAUGUGCCUCUGGGAAAUUAACACUGGGCCAACAUCAGUUCUGGCGGCAGGAUAAAUCAUUAAGAAUGUAGCUACCUCGGGUAGUGUUAUAGCUUUUUGGAAUACUGCC